UACGGAGGGUGCAAGCGUUAUCCGGAUUUACUGGGUUUAAAGGGUGCGUAGGUGGGCAGGUAAGUCAGUGGUGAAAUCUUCAAGCUUAACUUGGAAACUGCCAUUGAUACUAUUUGUCUUGAAUAUCCUGGAGGUAAGCGGAAUAUGUCAUGUAGCGGUGAAAUGCUUAGAUAUGACAUAGAACACCCAUUGCGAAGGCAGCUUACUACGGGAUUAAUGACACUGAGGCACGAAGGCGUGGGGAUCAAACAGG
This 253-nucleotide ribosomal RNA is filed under the name uncultured bacterium. RNAcentral's name for it is "partial 16S ribosomal RNA". It matches the Rfam family "Bacterial small subunit ribosomal RNA", at positions 524 to 776 of the family's 1533-position model. The record is from RNAcentral.